RNAcentral lists this ribosomal RNA (581 nucleotides) under uncultured bacterium. Its description in RNAcentral is "bacterial SSU rRNA". It matches the Rfam family "Bacterial small subunit ribosomal RNA", at positions 60 to 607 of the family's 1533-position model. The record is from RNAcentral.
AGUCGAACGAGAGGACAAGAGAAGCUUGCUUCUUUUGGAAUCGAGUGGCAAACGGGUGAGUAACACGUAAACAACCUGCCUUCAGGAUGGGGACAACAGACGGAAACGACUGCUAAUACCGAAUACGCUUGGAAGACCGCAUGAUCUUCCAAGGAAAGGGUGGCCUCUACCUGUAAGCUAUCGCCUGAAGAGGGGUUUGCGUCUGAUUAGGCAGUUGGUGAGGUAACGGCCCACCAAACCUACGAUCAGUAACCGGUCUGAGAGGAUGAACGGCCACACUGGAACUGAGACACGGUCCAGACUCCUACGGGAGGCAGCAGUGGGGAAUCUUCCGCAAUGGGCGAAAGCCUGACGGAGCAACGCCGCGUGAGUGAUGACGGCCUUCGGGUUGUAAAGCUCUGUGAUCGGGGACGAACGGUCCGUAAGCUAAUACCUUAUGGAAGUGACGGUACCCGAAUAGCAAGCCACGGCUAACUACGUGCCAGCAGCCGCGGUAAUACGUAGGUGGCAAGCGUUGUCCGGAAUUAUUGGGCGUAAAGCGCGCGCAGGCGGCUUUCUAAGUCCAUCUUAAAAGUGCGGGG